This 252-nucleotide long non-coding RNA is filed under the name Olea europaea subsp. europaea. The record is from RNAcentral. Lineage: Eukaryota; Viridiplantae; Streptophyta; Magnoliopsida; Lamiales; Oleaceae.
AUAGGCUUUCAUGAUAACAACAUAACAUCACAAGUAUGACCAUGACAUAAACAAUCAUCCUGGAAGAUGAUGGGAUGAAUCCUAGACAAAUCCAUCAAUUUAAUUCUAUGAAAUACUUAGUUGGAAAUUGUAAUUUUACGGGGAUUUGGGUAAUUCUGGCAUUGUAGGUUUAGGUAUUUCAGGUUGCUUAGGCACUUCUAGCUUUGGCAAAGUUGGAAAUUCAGGCUUUGAAAUUUUUGGUAGCUCGGGUUU